UACAGAGGGUGCAAGCGUUGUUCGGAUUUACUGGGCGUAAAGCGCGUGUAGGCGGUGGCGUAAGUCGGAUGUGAAAUCCCUCGGCUUAACCGAGGACGUGCACCCGAUACCGCGUCACUUGAGUACCGGAGGGGAUGGCGGAAUUCCCGGUGUAGAGGUGAAAUUCGUAGAUAUUCGCAAGAACACCAGUGGCGAAGGCGGCUCACUGGUCCGGUUCUGACGCUCAGGCGCGAUAGCGUGGGGAUCAAACAGG
RNAcentral lists this ribosomal RNA (253 nucleotides) under uncultured bacterium. RNAcentral describes it as "partial 16S ribosomal RNA". It matches the Rfam family "Bacterial small subunit ribosomal RNA", at positions 524 to 776 of the family's 1533-position model. The record is from RNAcentral.